This is a non-coding RNA of Capsicum annuum, 119 nucleotides long. NCBI's taxonomy places the organism in Eukaryota, Viridiplantae, Streptophyta, Magnoliopsida, Solanales, Solanaceae. The record is from Rfam.
GCCCACGCAGGGACCACAGAUCAAGUAAACUAUACUUUCACCUUUUACUAAAGAAUACUGUAUGCACGGUGCAAAUAGUGGCAUACGCCUGUUUUUGGAGCGUACAACUUCUAGGAUGU